This 432-nucleotide unclassified non-coding RNA is filed under the name soil metagenome. RNAcentral's name for it is "partial contains 5.8S ribosomal RNA, internal transcribed spacer 2, and large subunit ribosomal RNA". The stretch from base 1 to 120 matches the Rfam family "5.8S ribosomal RNA", at positions 35 to 154 of the family's 154-position model. The record is from RNAcentral.
GAUGAAGAACGUAGCGAAAUGCGAUACGUAAUGUGAAUUGCAGAAUUCAGUGAAUCAUCGAAUCUUUGAACGCAUAUUGCGCUCUCUGGUAUUCCGGAGAGCAUGCUUGUUUGAGUAUCAGUAAACACCUCAACUUCCAUAUCUUUUUUGAAAUGGGAGUUGGACUUGAGUGAUCCCAACGCUUUUCCUCACCGAAAAGUGGCGGGUUACUUGAAAUGCAGGUGCAGCUGGACUUUUCUCUGAGCUAUAAGCAUAUCUAUUUAGUCUGCCUAAAAAACAGAUUAUUACCUUUGCUGCAGCUAACAUAAAGGAGAUUAGUUCCUGUGCUGACUGAUGCAGGAUUCACAAAGACAGCUUCGGCCGACUUUGUAAACUCGAUCUCAAAUCAAGUAAGACUACCCGCUGAACUUAAGCAUAUCAAUAAGCGGAGGA